This 433-nucleotide ribosomal RNA is filed under the name uncultured bacterium. RNAcentral describes it as "partial 16S ribosomal RNA". It matches the Rfam family "Bacterial small subunit ribosomal RNA", at positions 29 to 507 of the family's 1533-position model. The record is from RNAcentral.
AACGAACGCUGGCGGCAUGCCUAACACAUGCAAGUCGAACGAGACCUUCGGGUCUAGUGGCGCACGGGUGCGUAACGCGUGGGAACCUGCCCUUAGGUUCGGGAUAACUCCCCGAAAGGGGUGCUAAUACCGGAUAAUGUCUUCGGACCAAAGAUUUAUCGCCUUUGGAUGGGCCCGCGUUGGAUUAGCUAGUUGGUAGGGUAAAAGCCUACCAAGGCGACGAUCCAUAGCUGGUCUGAGAGGAUGAUCAGCCACACUGGGACUGAGACACGGCCCAGACUCCUACGGGAGGCAGCAGUGGGGAAUAUUGGACAAUGGGCGAAGGCCUGAUCCAGCAAUGCCGCGUGAGUGAUGAAGGCCUUAGGGUUGUAAAGCUCUUUUACCCGGGAUGAUAAUGACAGUACCGGGAGAAUAAGCUCCGGCUAACUCCGUG